Molecule: ribosomal RNA, 466 nt
Filed under: uncultured bacterium
Lineage: Bacteria
Description: bacterial SSU rRNA
Rfam family: Bacterial small subunit ribosomal RNA
Source: RNAcentral
GACGAACGCUGGCGGCGUGCUUAACACGUGCAAGUCGAACGGUGACGAGGAGCUUGCUCCUCUGAUCAGUGGCGAACGGGUGAGUAACACGUGAGCAACCUGCCCCAGACUCUGGGAUAACAGUUGGAAACAGCUGCUAAUACCGGAUACGAGACGGAGAGGCAUCUCUACCGUCUGGAAAGUUUUUCGGUCUGGGAUGGACUCGCGGCCUAUCAGCUAGUUGGUGAGGUAAUGGCUCACCAAGGCGACGACGGGUAGCCGGCCUGAGAGGGCGACCGGCCACACUGGGACUGAGACACGGCCCAGACUCCUACGGGAGGCAGCAGUGGGGAAUAUUGCACAAUGGGCGAAAGCCUGAUGCAGCGACGCCGCGUGAGGGAUGACGGCCUUCGGGUUGUAAACCUCUUUCAGCAGGGAAGAAGCGAAAGUGACGGUACCUGCAGAAGAAGCACCGGCUAACUACGUG